Acyrthosiphon pisum (pea aphid) is the source of this 92-nucleotide non-coding RNA. Lineage: Eukaryota; Metazoa; Arthropoda; Insecta; Hemiptera; Aphididae. The record is from Rfam.
CCUUCGGUAGCUCAGUUGGUAGAGCGGUGGACUGUAGUGGUGUAAACGUCAUAGAUAUCCAUAGGUCGCUGGUUCAAAUCCGGCCCGAAGGA